Molecule: ribosomal RNA, 201 nt
Filed under: uncultured bacterium
Lineage: Bacteria
Description: partial 16S ribosomal RNA
Rfam family: Bacterial small subunit ribosomal RNA
Source: RNAcentral
UUCGGAUCGGAGUCUGCAACCCGACUCCGUGAAGCUGGAUUCGCUAGUAAUCGCGCAUCAGCCAUGGCGCGGUGAAUACGUUCCCGGGCCUUGUACACACCGCCCGUCAAGCCAUGGGAGCCGGGGGUGCUUGAAGUGCGUCGCCGCAAGGCGCGCCCUAGAGCAAAACCGGUGACUGGGGCUAAGUCGUAACAAGGUAUC